UAAUCACUUUUCGCGUACAUCGAUGCGCACAUACUUAUGUGUAGGAUAUCAGAUGAACCGAGCACGGAGUAAAAUCUCUGCAAUCAGCAAUGAGGAUCGUAUCUUCGUUAAUUAAAGCGUAUUGCCUCUUGUUCUACAGAUAACGGCUAUGAAACUCACCUCAGACAACACCAAUCAACACGAAUUUUGAGCAUGAUCUGAAUCAACGCUUCCUCAUCACAUCGAGGCGAAAACAUCAGUAGUAAAACAAAACAUGGCAAAAAAAAAAAAAAAAAAUCCGAAUGAGGAUGGGGCGAAACGAUACAGAAGAAAAGGCUAGCGGUGAUAACGCACUAGCAGUCGGGUACCCGAUGAUAUUCCGUAACACCCCGCGAUUAUGGUAUCCCUCCAUUAAAUUACAAUCUGUUACAUUUUGAUUGUACCUAUACUGUAUGCAAAGUUUAGAUAAAAUCAGGCUGGUGGAAGGGAUAAAGUUAUACUCCUAUACUUGAAAAUGAUGUAUAAUUAUUAUAAAAAUCAGCUGCAGAAUAGGUAAAUCUUUCUUUAAAGGUAGUACGUAUGCAUGUUUAAUACAUGUUUAAUACUAGCAGCCCGUCGCGCGCGGCUCCGUUCGCUAAUAUUUUCAAAUGCUUAUCGUGACAAAAUUAUUAGACUUUUUGAGCCGAGACGUUGGAAACUCUUGAUCAUGAAUUUCUUCUGUCUGUCAGAGUUCGUUCGGCGUUCGCACAAGUGUGUGAUCCUCUUCCGACUUGACUUGCAAAUAUCGUUAUAUCGUCAAAAGUAUUGAUCUCGUUGUGACGACAUACAGCCUAAAACCUACCCAAACGUUACAC
Molecule: long non-coding RNA, 833 nt
Filed under: Neodiprion pinetum (white pine sawfly)
Lineage: Eukaryota; Metazoa; Arthropoda; Insecta; Hymenoptera; Diprionidae
Description: uncharacterized LOC124213549
Source: RNAcentral